AUUGAACUCGCUGUGAAGAUGCAGUGUACCCGCGGCAAGACGGAAAGACCCCGUGAACCUUUACUAUAGCUUGACACUGAACAUUGAGCCUUGAUGUGUAGGAUAGGUGGGAGGCUUUGAAGUGUGGACGCCAGUCUGCAUGGAGCCGACCUUGAAAUACCACCCUUUAAUGUUUGAUGUUCUAACGUGGACCCGUGAUCCGGGUUGCGGACAGUGUCUGGUGGGUAGUUUGACUGGGGCGGUCUCCUCCUAAAGAGUAACGGAGGAGCACGAAGGUUGGCUAAUCCUGGUCGGACAUCAGGAGGUUAGUGCAAUGGCAUAAGCCAGCUUGACUGCGAGCGUGACGGCGCGAGCAGGUGCGAAAGCAGGUCAUAGUGAUCCGGUGGUUCUGAAUGGAAGGGCCAUCGCUCAACGGAUAAAAGGUACUCCGGGGAUAACAGGCUGAUACCGCCCAAGAGUUCAUAUCGACGGCGGUGUUUGGCACCUCGAUGUCGGCUCAUCACAUCCUGGGGCUGAAGUAGGUCCCAAGGGUAUGGCUGUUCGCCAUUUAAAGUGGUACGCGAGCUGGGUUUAGAACGUCGUGAGACAGUUCGGUCCCUAUCUGCCGUGGGCGCUGGAGAACUGAGGGGGGCUGCUCCUAGUACGAGAGGACCGGAGUGGACGCAUCACUGGUGUUCGGGUUGUCAUGCCAAUGGCACUGCCCGGUAGCUAAAUGCGGAAGAGA
RNAcentral lists this ribosomal RNA (724 nucleotides) under Salmonella enterica subsp. enterica serovar Weltevreden. RNAcentral's name for it is "partial 23S ribosomal RNA". It matches the Rfam family "Bacterial large subunit ribosomal RNA", at positions 2041 to 2764 of the family's 2925-position model. The record is from RNAcentral. Lineage: Bacteria; Pseudomonadati; Pseudomonadota; Gammaproteobacteria; Enterobacterales; Enterobacteriaceae.